UUCCCCUGAAGUUAUUUGGAUCUGAUUACCACUGCGGGUUUAUUGGUGUUCCUCAACUCCAGUCCACAGACUUUUUGUUGGAACAGGAUGAGGCCGGGGAGGCAUGGCAGCAGGCACCUGAGAGUUCAUCUCCAACAGCAAACGUGAAGCAAAGAACAUGAACUGGAAGUGAGCCUUCUCUUCCAGCCUCUGGUGAGAUGCUGGGUCUGAAACCACCGCCUGCUCAUCUACAGCAGCAUCCACCACACUCCUCGGCUUUGAUCUCCUGCUCCCUCUAAAUUCAGUCACACUGCAGCCAGAGCAGAAUCAUUGUCAGUCCCAAGACUUGCAUGCCGUGGGCCCCAAGGUUCCAAAGAAAAUCUGGCUGGAUCCGAGCAGUCCGGCCAGAAGCAUGAUAACGGAAGUGUC
Onychomys torridus (southern grasshopper mouse) is the source of this 408-nucleotide long non-coding RNA. RefSeq lists it as uncharacterized. The transcript is spliced from 3 exons. The record is from RefSeq and is a predicted model, not a curated record. Lineage: Eukaryota; Metazoa; Chordata; Mammalia; Rodentia; Cricetidae.